Molecule: long non-coding RNA, 818 nt
Filed under: Setaria italica (foxtail millet)
Lineage: Eukaryota; Viridiplantae; Streptophyta; Magnoliopsida; Poales; Poaceae
Description: long non-coding RNA (SITA_LNC006993)
Source: RNAcentral
UACCACACGUCCACACGCAGACGCACGCACCGCAGCCAAGCGACGUCGCGGCAGCGCGCUCGCCGUGCAGGUCUUCCUCUCCGGCCUCCUCUUAAGCUAGUCUCCCAGCUCGACUCUGCGGCGCGCCAUGGCCUUGUUGCACGAGCACCUCGACAUCAUCCGCGCCCACCUCCUCGACGACUCCCACGACGCCGCCGCCGCCGCCAGCUCCGAGGACUACUCAGCGUCCUCGCCCCCGCCCUCGCCGCCGGCUGCCGGGCGGAGGCCGCUUCCGGCGCUCUCCGUCGCGCUGCCCCCGAGGACCGCGGCUGUCGCCCUGCAGCAGCAGCAGCUUUGGGCGCCGCCGCCGCCGCCGCAGAUUAUUCACCACCACCAGCAGGAGCAGCACUGCUUCCCGGGACCUGAGGAGGACGACUUCCGGCGGUACCGCGGCGUGCGGCAGCGGCCGUGGGGCAAGUACGCGGCGGAGAUCCGGGACCCGGCGCGGAAGGGCGCGCGCGUGUGGCUCGGCACCUACGACACCGCCGUGGAGGCCGCGCGCGCCUACGACCGCGCCGCGUUCCUUCUGCGCGGCUCGAAGGCCAUCCUCAACUUCCCCAACGAGGUCGCCUUCGGCACCGCCGCCCGGUGGGGACCCCCUGCCGCCGCUCCCCGUCCCAGCGCUGCCACCGCCGGUAGUAACAAGAGGGCGAGGUCACCGGAGCCAGCGCUGCGAGAACAGGACGCCGGGUGCAUGGUCAGGGAGGUGAAGAAAGAGCGGGUUCAGGAGCCCGCCGCGAGCUGUGGUUGGGAUGGCGCCGUGGUCAUGGCGCCGGCGG